UCCAGGGUAGCCUAGUGGACAUGGCAUCUGCACGGUAAGCGGAAGAUCGUGGUUCGAUUCCCGCCCCUGGAC
RNAcentral lists this transfer RNA (72 nucleotides) under Cordylochernes scorpioides. RNAcentral describes it as "tRNA-Thr". It matches the Rfam family "tRNA". From Rfam's summary of the family: Transfer RNA (tRNA) molecules are approximately 80 nucleotides in length. The record is from RNAcentral. Lineage: Eukaryota; Metazoa; Arthropoda; Arachnida; Pseudoscorpiones; Chernetidae.